UACGUAGGGUGCGAGCGUUGUCCGGAAUCAUUGGGCGUAAAGCGCGCGUAGGCGGCCCGGUAAGUCCGCUGUAAAAGUCCAGGGCUCAACCCUGGAAAGCCGGUGGAUACUGUCGGGCUCGAGUCCGGAAGAGGCGAGUGGAAUUCCUGGUGUAGCGGUGAAAUGCGCAGAUAUCAGGAAGAACACCUAUGGCGAAGGCAGCUCUCUGGGACGGUACUGACGCUGAGACGCGAAAGCGUGGGGAGCGAACAGG
Molecule: ribosomal RNA, 253 nt
Filed under: uncultured bacterium
Lineage: Bacteria
Description: partial 16S ribosomal RNA
Rfam family: Bacterial small subunit ribosomal RNA
Source: RNAcentral